ACCUCCCAUCCGUGUCUAUCUGUACCCUGUUGCUUCGGCGUGGCCACGGCCCGCCGGAGACUAACAUUUGAACGCUGUCUGAAGUUUGCAGUCUGAGUUUUUAGUUAAACAAUCGUUAAAACUUUCAACAACGGAUCUCUUGGUUCCGGCAUCGAUGAAGAACGCAGCGAAAUGCGAUAAUUAAUGUGAAUUGCAGAAUUCAGUGAAUCAUCGAGUCUUUGAACGCACAUUGCGCCCCCUGGUAUUCCGGGGGGCAUGCCUGUCCGAGCGUCAUUGCUGCCCUCAAGCACGGCUUGUGUGUUGGGCUUCCGUCCCUGGCAACGGGGACGGGCCCAAAAGGCAGUGGCGGCACCAUGUCUGGUCCUCGAGCGUAUGGGGCUUUGUCACCCGCUCCCGUAGGUCCAGCUGGCAGCUAGCCUCGCAACCAAUCUUUUUAACCAGGUUGACCUCGGAUCAGGUAGGGAUACCCGCUGAACUUAAGCAUAUC
RNAcentral lists this ribosomal RNA (487 nucleotides) under Aspergillus montevidensis. RNAcentral describes it as "eukaryotic LSU rRNA". The stretch from base 120 to 273 matches the Rfam family "5.8S ribosomal RNA". Lineage: Eukaryota; Fungi; Ascomycota; Eurotiomycetes; Eurotiales; Aspergillaceae. The record is from RNAcentral.